UGCAACUGCAUUAAAAUCUGUCCAAGAGAGCUGGAUAGUGCCAUAAAUGACCCACAUUUAGCUGACUCCUUGAAUUCUGCAACCUGAAGAAAAACAGAGGACGGAGCAUCCAGCAUAGCCCUGAUGGCAGAGGCAGCUGCAACCCGUGCCUUAAGAAAUGGAUCGAACAGCAAACAACUCAUCAGUGUUGCCUCAUACCUCCUUGGCUGUAGGACAUCACUAGAUGGUAAGAGCAUUGUCCACUGAGCUGUAAAUGAUUUUGGAUCCGCUAGGCAAAGGUCCUGGAUACAAAUGAUCGCAGCUAAUCUAGUCUUUCCAUAGGGUGCAUUGCAAGUACCCCUCCCUGAUCCAUCACUAUCGCUGUUUUCUGAAUCAGAUG
This 379-nucleotide unclassified non-coding RNA is filed under the name Hevea brasiliensis (rubber tree). Lineage: Eukaryota; Viridiplantae; Streptophyta; Magnoliopsida; Malpighiales; Euphorbiaceae. The record is from RNAcentral.